Molecule: ribosomal RNA, 407 nt
Filed under: uncultured prokaryote
Also listed under: 1 other name
Description: bacterial SSU rRNA
Rfam family: Bacterial small subunit ribosomal RNA
Source: RNAcentral
UGGGGAAUAUUGGGCAAUGGGCGCAAGCCUGACCCAGCAACGCCGCGUGAGGGAAGAAGGCCUUCGGGUUGUAAACCUCUGUCCUUGGGGACGAAAAAAAUGACGGUACCCAAGGAGGAAGCUCCGGCUAACUACGUGCCAGCAGCCGCGGUAAUACGUAGGGAGCGAGCGUUGUCCGGAAUUACUGGGCGUAAAGGGUGCGUAGGCGGCUUGGCAAGUCAGAUGUGAAAUCCCCGGGCUUAACUCGGGGGGUGCAUUUGAAACUGCUGAGCUUGAGUGCAGGAGAGGAAAGCGGAAUUCCUAGUGUAGCGGUGAAAUGCGUAGAUAUUAGGAGGAACACCAGUGGCGAAGGCGGGUAACUGGACUGCAACUGACGCUGAGGCGCGAAAGUGUGGGGAGCAAACAGG